GUCCGCAAGGACAAUUUGAUAAUUUGACCUCAAAUCAGGUAGGACUACCCGCUAAACUUAA
Molecule: ribosomal RNA, 61 nt
Filed under: Pleurotus eryngii
Lineage: Eukaryota; Fungi; Basidiomycota; Agaricomycetes; Agaricales; Pleurotaceae
Description: partial 28S ribosomal RNA
Source: RNAcentral